RNAcentral lists this transfer RNA (55 nucleotides) under Eutreptiella gymnastica. The record is from RNAcentral. Lineage: Eukaryota; Euglenozoa; Euglenophyceae; Eutreptiales; Eutreptiaceae.
GCACAGUGGUAGUACGUCUCAUUUAUAAUGAGAAGGUCGGGAGUUCGAUCCUGCC